GUUUGCAAUGAUAUAACGCAGUGCCCGAAAAUAGUCCCCUGCUAUUGAAAGAUACUAUAGGGACUAUUUUCGGCUGCUGUGUAAUAUCAUUGCGCCUCCUGCAGCCACGUUACGGCAACAAAGUCCUUGAUUAUUACGCCAGUAUGAGAGUAUAGUUCCUAUCCUAUUCAAUGGAUUAUGCUAAGCUAUGCUAAAAGUGGUAGCGCCGGAGACCGGCUGCUGAAUUCCAAAACAUUAAGAAUCGAAUGUUUAACUCCAGGGGAGCUGGGAAAUUAGCAUAUUUUCAAAAAAAGUGGAGUGUCGCUUUAAAUAUUCUUUCUUGAUUUUUGUUCAAUCCACCAACAGAGUUCAGUAGAAUCCACUGAAUUGACCCCAACAGAUCAUAUCACCAUGACAGUGGAACUUUUUUCAGCCUUUGCAGUUUGUCAGAUUUUGGAAAGCACCCCUGAGAGGAAAUCCGUAUUAAACCGUUAAAGUGCAAGCAAUUACCAACAAGCAGAGGAGGCUACUUGUGAGACUCCUUGCAUCCCAUCUGCUGGAAACCAAUGGUGAAACCUGAGCCAUCAUCAGACACUAAGAAGGCAUGUGACAAGGCAUUGGUGUAUGAAUUUCCUUGCCUGAAGGAUAUACAGCUGCUAAAGGGGAAACAGCACUGAAGAUGCCAACUCUGCUAGCUCCAUCCAUUUACAAGGGAGGAGGAGAAGUCUUCAGACCUACCACUGUGGAGGCCCAGAGGUCCUUUAUUGACAUGCAACCUGUGGGGACCAACAUGGUGGAAUAUCUGCAAAAUCAGAGAUGUUGCACGUUUUGUGACUUGGGGACGAGCCAAGAAGGACCUGCCAGACCUUUGCCAUUGUUGGAGGCAAUGCCUCUGAGACAAACUCUUUGGUGAAGGAUGUUGAUAAGUUUUUUUUUGUCUUUGAUGUUAACUACACAAAGCAAUAGGUGUGUUCGACUUCAUGCAGCGCUGCGCAGACCGAUCGGCAGGUGACUUGAAGCAGUGCAUUUUGGUUAGUACUUUUGUCCGACUUCAGCUGGCGCUGCAGGCACGUGACUGUGUCAUAUGGUUUUUAAGUACCGCGAGAGCGUUUCGAGAGUAGCCAGCUGGCUCAGCCGGUGCAGCUUCUCCAGAGCGGCUGCCCGGAGUUGUGAUGACGUAACAGCUUUACUUGAUUGGUCGCUUCAUUGAUGACAACGAUCACGUGCGUUUCAAGUUUAAUCCAACCUUUAGUUUCACUAAUAAACAUUAUAAAUUCAUGUUUUAAAACAGGAAAAAAACACUUUAAUAUCCUAAAAUAUGUUAUAUUGUGUCGUGUAAUAAAAUAAAAAUGAAAAUAACAAACUCUAUUGGUAUUUUAAUAAUAUAGGCUUGUUUCCCGUUAUUUUCGGGUAUACAGUUUAAGCAGCAAUUAAAAUAUUCGAUAUAAAAUGUUUCUGGUUGCAACUUUUUAUCAAAAGGUUUGUUUUUAUCAAAUUCAGCAUCUAAUUCACUUAAUUUGCGAUUAUAAACAAGGAAACACGGCGCACACGUCACUACGGCAAGCAGCAGGUGUCCGGCUUGACGGCUCCGUCUUCAGUUCCUCCCUCGACUGCAAGCGGCAAACCUCGUCGAUCGGUCUGCGCAGCGCCGGAUGAUCUCGAACACACCUAUUGUCUUCCCACCUGGGAGUUUCACCAGGAUGCCAUUUAUCAGAUUGAUGGACAUGAGUCCUCCUCUGUUAACAUUUUGAGGACAACAUUUAAUCACUAAUAAUUAACUAUUUCAGUGCUAUGUUUGAAAGAUUCGCCCACAAUGCAAUGCCAACAGGAGUUUACUUACAGGCUGUGAGGUCAAGUGGGAGGAAUUAUGAUAAUUUCGGUCUUGUCUACGUCACCAAUCCCAGGAAGUAAACUGUUGCCUACAAUCUGUGUUUGUUGUAGUCCAAGAAAAGAGAUCACUCGCAUUAUCGUUUACUUUGGGGUUUGUACCUUUUGCAUAUCGUUAACAUGAAUUAAUACACAAUUACACACCAAAGGAAAUGUAAAAAUGUGAAUCGGACCAUAGCUGCUCUUUAAAAAAAAUUUUGUUUCAGGGCUUCUUGUUUUUAAUAACAUUUUGAUGAAUGAAAAUGUAAAGUAAAUGAAAUGCUAAUCAUCAUAGUUUAAAUAUUAAGAGUUAUAAAGUCCGUGGGGAUUGUUUGAUGUCAUAAUGGGGUUGUAACUUUUGUAUUAUACAAAUAUACAAAAAUGUAAUUAAAACAUUGUAUUAAAUGUAAAAAAAAAUUAAAUGCAAUUUAAAUCACAUUAACAGGGGCCUCUCAGUUUUGUUUUACAGGGGGUAUUUGUUACAUUUAUUUUAUAUCUAACAAUUUGUCACAUUGGAAUUUUAAGGUUCAAUCUGACAUUUUUGUCAAAAUUCAGUUAUUCACAUAUUUUUAAUCUGUAACAAUUUAUUUACAUUAUGUGAAGUUAUGUACAUUUUUGGGAUGUUUUU
Non-coding RNA from Misgurnus anguillicaudatus (oriental weatherfish), 2473 nucleotides. NCBI's taxonomy places the organism in Eukaryota, Metazoa, Chordata, Actinopteri, Cypriniformes, Cobitidae. The record is from RefSeq and is a predicted model, not a curated record.